CGCAGCCGCGGUAAUUCCAGCUCCAAUAGCGUAUAUUAAAGUUGUUGCAGUUAAAAAGCUCGUAGUUGAAUUUCGGGGUUAGUAGGUUGGUCAUGCCUCUGGUAUGUACUGGUCUCACUGAUUCCUCCUUCCUGAUGAGCCGUAAUGCCAUUAAUUUGGUGUUGCGGGGAAUUUGGACUGUUACUUUGAAAAAUUAGAGUGUUUAAAGCAAGCUAACGCUUGAAUACAUUAGCAUGGAAUAAUGAAAUAGGACGUUCGACCCUAUUUUGUUGGUUUCUAGGAUUGACGUAAUGAUUAAUAGGGAUAGUUGGGGGCAUUAGUACUCAAUUGUCAGAGGUGAAAUUCUUGGAUUUAUUGAAGACUAACUACUGCGAAAGCAUUUUGCCAAGGAUGUUUUCAUUAAUCAAGAACGAAAGUUAGGGGAUCGAAGACGAUCAGAUACCGUCGUAGUCUUAACCAUAAACUAUAGCCGAACUAGGGAUCGGAUGAUGUUAAUUUUUAAUGUACUCAUUCGGCG
RNAcentral lists this ribosomal RNA (517 nucleotides) under uncultured Glomus. Its description in RNAcentral is "SSU rRNA". It matches the Rfam family "Eukaryotic small subunit ribosomal RNA", at positions 569 to 1085 of the family's 1831-position model. Lineage: Eukaryota; Fungi; Glomeromycota; Glomeromycetes; Glomerales; Glomeraceae. The record is from RNAcentral.